This 253-nucleotide unclassified non-coding RNA is filed under the name uncultured Bradymonadales bacterium. RNAcentral describes it as "contains 16S-23S intergenic spacer region". It matches the Rfam family "Bacterial small subunit ribosomal RNA", at positions 524 to 776 of the family's 1533-position model. The record is from RNAcentral. Lineage: Bacteria; Deltaproteobacteria; Bradymonadales.
UACGGAGGGUGCGAGCGUUGCUCGGAAUCACUGGGCGUAAAGCGUGCGCAGGCGGCGUGCCAAGUCAGACGUGAAAGUCCGGGGCUCAACCCCGGGAGGUCGUUUGAAACUGGCAUGCUUGAGUACGGGAGAGGGGUGUGGAAUUCCCAGUGUAGGAGUGAAAUCCGUAGAUAUUGGGAGGAACACCAGUGGCGAAGGCGACACCCUGGCCCGAGACUGACGCUCAGGCACGAAAGCGUGGGUAGCAAACAGG